AGCAAACACAAGUUAACACAACUACACAAUUAUCGCCGGAUAAUUGUACGAACUCGGGUUCCCGAAAGUGUCAAAUUCGACACCGGAACCCACCGUCGCUCACUCGUCAUUUCUGAACUCUCGAAAUGACGCAAGUGACCAGCAAACAAGGCUCGGCGACUACACAAUAGCUCACGAAGCACCGUCGGAAUAAUUCCGAACCGAACCCGCGUUCUAUCGGCGGAUUUCGCCGAAAAACGCAUCGAAAAUCACUUUUCGAUUUCCGCAAG
RNAcentral lists this long non-coding RNA (269 nucleotides) under Ananas comosus (pineapple). Its description in RNAcentral is "long non-coding RNA (ACOM_LNC042240)". The record is from RNAcentral. Lineage: Eukaryota; Viridiplantae; Streptophyta; Magnoliopsida; Poales; Bromeliaceae.